Molecule: non-coding RNA, 79 nt
Organism: Podarcis lilfordi (Lilford's wall lizard)
Lineage: Eukaryota; Metazoa; Chordata; Lepidosauria; Squamata; Lacertidae
Source: the annotation of a GenBank genome assembly
GCCCCCAAUUGUGUAGCUCUGGUGGAAGAGCGUGAGACUCUUAAUCUGAGGGCAAUGGGUUCAAGCCCCAUGUUGGGCA